CUCCCUGAGUGGGAGGCUCAUUGAAGGGCUGGCUGCCUGCAGGGAAGGAGCUCUGCUUUUUUGUGUGCCCUGUUCCUCAGAAUGGCUUGCCACGCCUCUGGCCUUGGCCCCCACAGAAGCCCCUCCUGGUUGUCAGUGGCAGCUGUUACCUGUGCAGUGCCAGCAGUCUGUAGAAAUGGCAGCACUUGGGAGGAUGACACAGUUUGCCUGAUGUUAUGCUUUAUGGAUGCGGUCAGGUGAGAAAGCGCUGUGCUUCGUGGCACAAAUUCCUUGGCCAAAGGAUGCUUUGGAGCAGAGGUUUGCUGUCAGGAGGCCUGAAAGCAUCGAAGGAAAUGCUGCUGUGCACUGGGCCCAGAGACAUCAGCUCCCAGCACGUCAGGCAUGGGCACAGAUGACAACACACUGAUGGUGUCCUGCUCGGAAAUGGAUGCGCUGGAUGGCAGAGGAGGAUUCUGAGCCAAGUAUGG
Molecule: long non-coding RNA, 467 nt
Organism: Lagopus leucura (white-tailed ptarmigan)
Lineage: Eukaryota; Metazoa; Chordata; Aves; Galliformes; Phasianidae
Exons: 3
Source: RefSeq, a predicted model, not a curated record